Gavialis gangeticus (Gharial) is the source of this 103-nucleotide long non-coding RNA. RefSeq lists it as uncharacterized. The record is from RefSeq and is a predicted model, not a curated record. The transcript is spliced from 3 exons. NCBI's taxonomy places the organism in Eukaryota, Metazoa, Chordata, Crocodylia, Gavialidae.
ACUCACCUGAACCCUGCACAGCCCAGGGAGGGAGAGAAAGGAGGAAGAGAGGAGAAAUCAGAGUAGCCUUAAGACCCUCGACUGGAUCUGCCAGGAGAAGCAG